GGCUUGUGUUGUCUCAUCAUACGUGUGUCAUCUUCCUUUUUCAUUCAGUCUAUGUCGAGUCCAUGAGAGAACAUGCAUCUGCCUUAGCCUUUUUUCUGCUGUACAAAAAGAGAACUCCGACCCAUUUCAUACCCCUCACUGUUUUGUUUUGAGACAGGGUCUCUUGAUUUAGCCCGAGUUGUCCUGAAAUUCUCUGUGCCAACAAGGCCGUCUUUGACUUGGAUCCAGUGCUAGAGCAACAGUGACUCUUGGCCACUGAUGUGCAUUUCUAGCUUCAGAACCCAUGACUUUUUAUGAUUCUUCAGUGUGAUCCCCACAAUGGCCUUGGGGACCGAUGCCGAGACCAUUCUCACGAUGUGACUUCUAUAAACCAUAAAGCAGCCAAUGUGUUUUACAAUCUGCUUCCUUUCAUCCUCCCUUCUCCCUUCAGGAGCCACUUUAGCACCACGACUAGGAGGACAGGAACAACCAGAGCCCCAUCAAAUCCAGCAGAGAGAUGGGACCACAUCACCACUACUACAACGAGAAGGCCAGGAACAACUAGAGCACCGUCAAAUCCUAUGGAACUUGAUGGGUUUGACUUGGAAGAUGCCUUGUAUGAUCAGAAAAAAAGCCAAGUACAGGAGAAGGAGGAGGUAAGUUCUAAAUGCUCGACAUCACAGG
Molecule: long non-coding RNA, 663 nt
Filed under: Rattus norvegicus (Norway rat)
Lineage: Eukaryota; Metazoa; Chordata; Mammalia; Rodentia; Muridae
Description: long non-coding RNA NONRATT032734
Source: RNAcentral